CCAGACUCCUACGGGAGGCAGCAGUGGGGAAUAUUGCACAAUGGGGGAAACCCUGAUGCAGCAACGCCGCGUGAGUGAAGAAGUAUUUCGGUAUGUAAAGCUCUAUCAGCAGGGAAGAAGAUGACGGUACCUGAGUAAGAAGCCCCGGCUAACUACGUGCCAGCAGCCGCGGUAAUACGUAGGGGGCAAGCGUUAUCCGGAUUUACUGGGUGUAAAGGGAGCGUAGACGGUGAGACAAGUCUGAAGUGAAAGCCCGGGGCUCAACCCCGGGACUGCUUUGGAAACUGCCUGACUGGAGUGCUGGAGAGGCAAGCGGAAUUCCUAGUGUGGCGGUGAAAUGCGUAGAUAUUAGGAGGAACACCGGCGGCGAAGGCGGCCUGCUGGACCGAAACUGACGUUGAGGCUCGAAAGCGUGGGGAGCAAACAGGAUUAGAUACCCCCGUA
This 444-nucleotide ribosomal RNA is filed under the name uncultured bacterium. Its description in RNAcentral is "bacterial SSU rRNA". It matches the Rfam family "Bacterial small subunit ribosomal RNA", at positions 331 to 792 of the family's 1533-position model. The record is from RNAcentral.